AUACGGAGGGGGCUAGCGUUGUUCGGAAUUACUGGGCGUAAAGGGCGCGUAGGCGGCUUGUCAAGUUGGAGGUGAAAGCCCGGGGCUCAACCCCGGAACUGCCUUCAAGACUGGCAGGCUAGAGUUCGGGAGAGGAGAGUGGAAUUCCCAGUGUAGAGGUGAAAUUCGUAGAUAUUGGGAGGAACACCGGUUGCGAAGGCGGCUCUCUGGUCCGAUACUGACGCUGAGGCGCGAAAGCGUGGGGAGCAAACAGGAUUAGAAACCCCGUAGUCC
Molecule: ribosomal RNA, 273 nt
Filed under: uncultured bacterium
Lineage: Bacteria
Description: partial 16S ribosomal RNA
Rfam family: Bacterial small subunit ribosomal RNA
Source: RNAcentral